CCUACGGGUGGCUGCAGUGAGGAAUAUUGGUCAAUGGACGAGAGUCUGAACCAGCCAAGUAGCGUGAAGGAUGACUGCCCUAUGGGUUGUAAACUUCUUUUAUAUGGGAAUAAAAUGUUCCACGUGUGGGAUUUUGUAUGUACCAUAUGAAUAAGGAUCGGCUAACUCCGUGCCAGCAGCCGCGGUAACACGGAGGAUCCGAGCGUUAUCCGGUUUUAUUGGGUUUAAAGGGAGCGUAGGUGGAUUGUUAAGUCAGUUGUGAAAGUUUGCGGCUCAACCGUAAAAUUGCAGUUGAAACUGGCAGUCUUGAGUACAGUAGAGGUGGGCGGAAUUCGUGGUGUAGCGGUGAAAUGCUUAGAUAUCACGAAGAACUCCGAUUGCGAAGGCAGUUCACUGGACUGCAACUGACACUGAGGCUCGAAAGUGUGGGUAUCAAACAGGAUUAGAUACCCUUGUAGUC
This 460-nucleotide ribosomal RNA is filed under the name uncultured bacterium. RNAcentral describes it as "partial 16S ribosomal RNA". It matches the Rfam family "Bacterial small subunit ribosomal RNA", at positions 338 to 795 of the family's 1533-position model. The record is from RNAcentral.